GAUGAACGCUGGCGGCGUGCCUAAUACAUGCAAGUCGAGCGAACGGACGAGAAGCUUGCUUCUCUGAUGUUAGCGGCGGACGGGUGAGUAACACGUGGAUAACCUACCUAUAAGACUGGGAUAACUUCGGGAAACCGGAGCUAAUACCGGAUAAUAUUUUGAAACGCAUGGUUCAAAAGUGAAAGACGGUCUUGCUGUCACUUAUAGAUGGAUCCGCGCUGCAUUAGCUAGUUGGUAAGGUAACGGCUUACCAAGGCAACGAUGCAUAGCCGACCUGAGAGGGUGAUCGGCCACACUGGAACUGAGACACGGUCCAGACUCCUACGGGAGGCAGCAGUAGGGAAUCUUCCGCAAUGGGCGAAAGCCUGACGGAGCAACGCCGCGUGAGUGAUGAAGGUCUUCGGAUCGUAAAACUCUGUUAUUAGGGAAGAACAUAUGUGUAAGUAACUGUGCACAUCGUGACGGUACCUAAUCAGAAAGCCACGGCUAACUACGUG
This 497-nucleotide ribosomal RNA is filed under the name uncultured bacterium. Its description in RNAcentral is "partial 16S ribosomal RNA". It matches the Rfam family "Bacterial small subunit ribosomal RNA", at positions 28 to 507 of the family's 1533-position model. The record is from RNAcentral.